Molecule: ribosomal RNA, 497 nt
Filed under: uncultured bacterium
Lineage: Bacteria
Description: partial 16S ribosomal RNA
Rfam family: Bacterial small subunit ribosomal RNA
Source: RNAcentral
GAUGAACGCUGGCGGCGUGCCUAAUACAUGCAAGUCGAGCGAACAGACGAGGAGCUUGCUCCUCUGACGUUAGCGGCGGACGGGUGAGUAACACGUGGAUAACCUACCUAUAAGACUGGGAUAACUUCGGGAAACCGGAGCUAAUACCGGAUAAUAUAUUGAACCGCAUGGUUCAAUAGUGAAAGACGGUUUUGCUGUCACUUAUAGAUGGAUCCGCGCCGCAUUAGCUAGUUGGUAAGGUAACGGCUUACCAAGGCGACGAUGCGUAGCCGACCUGAGAGGGUGAUCGGCCACAUUGGAACUGAGACACGGUCCAGACUCCUACGGGAGGCAGCAGUAGGGAAUCUUCCGCAAUGGGCGAAAGCCUGACGGAGCAACGCCGAGUGAGUGAUGAAGGUCUUCGGAUCGUAAAACUCUGUUAUUAGGGAAGAACAAAUGUGUAAGUAACUAUGCACGUCUUGACGGUACCUAAUCAGAAAGCCACGGCUAACUACGUG